CGGACGGGUGAGUAACGCGUGGAAAACCUGCCGUAUACUGGGGGAUAACACUUAGAAAUAGGUGCUAAUACCGCAUAAGCGCACAGCUUCGCAUGAAGCGGUGUGAAAAACUCUGGUGGUAAUACGAUGGUUCCGCGUCUGAUUAGCUAGUUGGUGGGGUAAUGGCCUACCAAGGCAACGAUCAGUAGCCGGCCUGAGAGGUGAACGGCCCACAUUGGGACUGAGACACGGCCCAAACUCCUACGGGAGGCAGCAG
Molecule: ribosomal RNA, 256 nt
Filed under: uncultured bacterium
Lineage: Bacteria
Description: partial 16S ribosomal RNA
Rfam family: Bacterial small subunit ribosomal RNA
Source: RNAcentral